This 465-nucleotide ribosomal RNA is filed under the name Vreelandella stevensii. RNAcentral's name for it is "partial 16S ribosomal RNA". It matches the Rfam family "Bacterial small subunit ribosomal RNA", at positions 338 to 795 of the family's 1533-position model. The record is from RNAcentral. Lineage: Bacteria; Pseudomonadati; Pseudomonadota; Gammaproteobacteria; Oceanospirillales; Halomonadaceae.
CCUACGGGAGGCAGCAGUGGGGAAUAUUGGACAAUGGGCGAAAGCCUGAUCCAGCCAUGCCGCGUGUGUGAAGAAGGCCUUCGGGUUGUAAAGCACUUUCAGUGGGGAAGAAAGCCUUGGGGCUAAUACCCUCGAGGAAGGACAUCACCGACAGAAGAAGCACCGGCUAACUACGUGCCAGCAGCCGCGGUAAUACGGAGGGUGCGAGCGUUAAUCGGAAUUACUGGGCGUAAAGCGCGCGUAGGCGGUCUGAUAAGCCGGUUGUGAAAGCCCCGGGCUCAACCUGGGAACGGCAUCCGGAACUGUCAGGCUAGAGUGCAGGAGAGGAAGGUAGAAUUCCCGGUGUAGCAGUGAAAUGCGUAGAGAUCGGGAGGAAUACCAGUGGCGAAGGCGGCCUUCUGGACUGACACUGACGCUGAGGUGCGAAAGCGUGGGUAGCAAACAGGAUUAGAUACCCCGGUAGUC